Molecule: long non-coding RNA, 262 nt
Filed under: Hordeum vulgare
Lineage: Eukaryota; Viridiplantae; Streptophyta; Magnoliopsida; Poales; Poaceae
Description: long non-coding RNA (HVUL_LNC012846)
Source: RNAcentral
AGCCGCGUCCGCGGAUAUGGACUACUUGGAGACAUAUGUUGUUCAUAGAUAACUUCAAUGGCUACUCAUAAAAUUGUCAAGAUAAGCGUGAGUGUCGUGGACGGCAUUUCCGUAUGGAGACGGAAUGAUUCCACGAUGGAGUAUUGUUGUGGUGUUAGUGGACUCAUGUGCGAGAAAUCAAGUUGUCAAAAUUAUUUAAAAAUGCAAGUUGUCUAGCCACGAGUCAAAUGCUGGCUUUCCGCAUGAAACCCCACAAUACCUU